CAUAAUCAUUUGUCUUUUAAUUGAAGUCUGGAAUGAAUGGUUUGAUGAAAAAUUUACUUUCUUUAUUUUAAAAAAAUAAUUUGAUUUUUUGAUUAAAAAGUUAAGAUAAUAAUAUAGGACGAGAAGACCCUAUAGAACUUUAUUUUUAUAAAAAAAUGGGAUUUUGUUAAUGAGUUUUUGUCUUUUUUAAUAAAUUUUGUUGGGGUGACAUAAAAAAAUUUUUAACUUUUUUUUAUUUUAUCAUUAAUUUAUGAUUUUUAUGAUCCUUUAUUAUGGAUAAUAAGACUAAGUUACCUUAGGGAUAACAGCGUUAUUAUUUUAGAGAGUUCAUAUUGAUAAAAUAGUUUGCGACCUCGAUGUUGGAUUAAAAUAAGUUUCAGGAGUAGAAUAUUGAAUAUCUAGGUCUGUUCGACCUUUAAAUUUUUACAUGAUCUGA
This 436-nucleotide ribosomal RNA is filed under the name Psallomimus solani. RNAcentral describes it as "partial 16S ribosomal RNA". The stretch from base 301 to 436 matches the Rfam family "Bacterial large subunit ribosomal RNA", at positions 2473 to 2608 of the family's 2925-position model. The record is from RNAcentral. Lineage: Eukaryota; Metazoa; Arthropoda; Insecta; Hemiptera; Miridae.